RNAcentral lists this ribosomal RNA (640 nucleotides) under uncultured Actinomycetes bacterium. RNAcentral describes it as "bacterial SSU rRNA". It matches the Rfam family "Bacterial small subunit ribosomal RNA", at positions 232 to 885 of the family's 1533-position model. Lineage: Bacteria; Bacillati; Actinomycetota; Actinomycetes. The record is from RNAcentral.
CGCGGCCUAUCAGCUUGUUGGUGAGGUAACGGCUCACCAAGGCAACGACGGGUAGCUGGUCUGAGAGGACGAUCAGCCACAUUGGAACUGAGAUACGGUCCAGACUCCUACGGGAGGCAGCAGCAGGGAAUCUUGCGCAAUGGGCGAAAGCCUGACGCAGCGACGCCGCGUGGGGGAUGAAGGCCCUAGGGUUGUAAACCCCUUUCACGAGGGAAGAAACUGACGGUACCUCGAGAAGAAGCCCCGGCCAACUACGUGCCAGCAGCCGCGGUAAUACGUAGGGGGCGAGCGUUGUCCGGAAUUAUUGGGCGUAAAGGGCUCGUAGGCGGCUUGGCAAGUCGGCCGUGAAAACCCAGGGCUCAACCCUGGGACGCCGGUCGAUACUGCCAUGGCUAGGGUCCGGUAGAGGGGAAUGGAAUUCCCGGUGUAGCGGUGGAAUGCGCAGAUAUCGGGAGGAACACCAGUAGCGAAGGCGGUUCCCUGGGCCGGCACCGACGCUGAGGAGCGAAAGCGUGGGGAGCAAACAGGAUUAGAUACCCUGGUAGUCCACGCCGUAAACGUUGGGUACUAGGCGUGGCGUCUUAUCAACGGACGCCGUGCUCGAAGCUAACGCGUUAAGUACCCCGCCUGGGGAGUACGG